UACGUAGGUGGCAAGCGUUGUCCGGAUUUACUGGGCGUAAAGAGCGCGCAGGCGGUCGUUCAAGUCGCGUGUGAAAGCCCCCGGCUCAACUGGGGAGGGUCACGCGAUACUGAUCGACUCGAAGGCAGGAGAGGGUAGUGGAAUUCCCGGUGUAGUGGUGAAAUGCGUAGAUAUCGGGAGGAACACCAGUGGCGAAGGCGGCAUCCUGGACCGGGAUUGACACUGAGGCGCGAAAGCCAGGGGAGCAAACGGG
This 253-nucleotide ribosomal RNA is filed under the name uncultured bacterium. Its description in RNAcentral is "partial 16S ribosomal RNA". It matches the Rfam family "Bacterial small subunit ribosomal RNA", at positions 524 to 776 of the family's 1533-position model. The record is from RNAcentral.